RNAcentral lists this small nuclear RNA (117 nucleotides) under Penaeus chinensis. RNAcentral's name for it is "U5 spliceosomal RNA". It matches the Rfam family "U5 spliceosomal RNA". Rfam says of the family: U5 RNA is a component of both types of known spliceosome. The record is from RNAcentral. Lineage: Eukaryota; Metazoa; Arthropoda; Malacostraca; Decapoda; Penaeidae.
UAACUCUGGUUUCCCUACAAAACGGAUAUAUCUUUUGCCUUUUACUAAAUACUUCCGUGGAGCGGAACAACUCAAUGAGUCUUACCCAUUUUUUUAUAGCCCACUUCCCUUAGUUCA